CCCAAAGUAACGUUUUGCGAAGAUUUCUCUGAGGGCAAGAUAAGUACGCCCGUCCUGCAGGCGCUGAACAGCCGACAUCGCGAUGUCAUUUUGGGUAUAUUGAAAAUGCGGACCCGCGACAUUAAUACCAAGAAGUAUCUGCUGUCGUUGCUGGAGAAGGGCGGCGGUAUACAGAAGACCAGGGAGCUGCUGCACCAGUGGGAAACUGAAAUGUUCACUGAGAUUGAGCGUCUCGGCGGCAACCCGAUGUUAGUGGAUUUAAUUCGUGAUCUACAAACUUGGGAUGAACGUACUAUGUAGGUUGAAGUAUGCU
Molecule: long non-coding RNA, 313 nt
Organism: Aricia agestis (brown argus)
Lineage: Eukaryota; Metazoa; Arthropoda; Insecta; Lepidoptera; Lycaenidae
Exons: 3
Source: RefSeq, a predicted model, not a curated record